GACGAACGCUGGCGGCGUGCUUAACACAUGCAAGUCGAACGGUGAACCUCUUCGGAGGGGAUCAGUGGCGAACGGGUGAGUAACACGUGGGCAACCUGCCCCCGGCUCUGGGAUAACUCCAAGAAAUUGGGGCUAAUACCGGAUGUUCACCGCUUCCCGCAUGGGUGGUGGUGGAAAGGGUUUCCGGCUGGGGGUGGGCCCGCGGCCUAUCAGCUUGUUGGUGGGGUAUUGGCCUACCAAGGCGACGACGGGUAGCCGGCCUGGGAGGGUGACCGGCCACACUGGGACUGGGACACGGCCCAGACUCCUAGGGGAGGCAGCGGGGGGGAAUAUGGCGCAAUGGGCGGAAGCCUGACGCAGCGACGCCGGGUGGGGGAUAACGGCCUUCGGGUGGAAAACCUCUUUCAGCAGGAACGAAGCGCAAGUGACGGUACCUGCAGAAGAAGCACCGGCCAACUACGUG
This 463-nucleotide ribosomal RNA is filed under the name uncultured bacterium. RNAcentral describes it as "partial 16S ribosomal RNA". It matches the Rfam family "Bacterial small subunit ribosomal RNA", at positions 28 to 507 of the family's 1533-position model. The record is from RNAcentral.